Molecule: non-coding RNA, 74 nt
Organism: Aedes albopictus (Asian tiger mosquito)
Lineage: Eukaryota; Metazoa; Arthropoda; Insecta; Diptera; Culicidae
Source: Rfam
UGUUCUGUGGCUUAGUUGGUUAAAACGCCGGUCUAGCGAAUAAGGAGUUGUGGGUUCGAAUCCCACCAGAACGC